Molecule: non-coding RNA, 30 nt
Filed under: Rattus norvegicus (Norway rat)
Lineage: Eukaryota; Metazoa; Chordata; Mammalia; Rodentia; Muridae
Source: RNAcentral
UCCUGUAGUCUUCGCAGCCAUCGGUGUUCU